CAGUCGCCGCGGGAAUACGUAGGUGGCAAGCGUUGUCCGGAAUUAUUGAGCGUAAAGGGCUCGCAGGCGGUUUCUUAAGUCUGAUGUGAAAGCCCCCGGCUCAACCGGGGAGGGUCAUUGGAAACUGGGAAACUUGAGUGCAGAAGAGGAGAGUGGAAUUCCACGUGUAGCGGUGAAAUGCGUAGAGAUGUGGAGGAACACCAGUGGCGAAGGCGACUCUCUGGUCUGUAACUGACGCUGAGGAGCGAAAGCGUGGGGAGCGAACAGGAUUAGAUACCCGGGUAGUCCCUGUCUCUUAUAC
RNAcentral lists this ribosomal RNA (301 nucleotides) under uncultured bacterium. Its description in RNAcentral is "partial 16S ribosomal RNA". It matches the Rfam family "Bacterial small subunit ribosomal RNA", at positions 509 to 807 of the family's 1533-position model. The record is from RNAcentral.